This 440-nucleotide ribosomal RNA is filed under the name uncultured bacterium. RNAcentral's name for it is "partial 16S ribosomal RNA". It matches the Rfam family "Bacterial small subunit ribosomal RNA", at positions 338 to 795 of the family's 1533-position model. The record is from RNAcentral.
CCUACGGGAGGCAGCAGUGGGGGAUAUUGCACAAUGGGGGAAACCCUGAUGCCGCGACGCCGCGUGUGGGAAGACGGCCCUCUGGAUUGUAAACCACUGUCCCCAGGGACGAAGAUGACGGUACCUGGGGAGGAAGCUCCGGCUAACUACGUGCCAGCAGCCGCGGUAAUACGUAGGGAGCGAUCGUUGUCCGGAAUUACUGGGUUGAAAGGGAGCGUAGGCGGGACUGCAAGUUGGGUGUCAAAUCUACCGGCUCAACCGGUAGCCGCACUCAAAACUGCAGUUCUUGAGUGAAGUAGAGGCAGGCGGAAUUCCUAGUGUAGCGGUGAAAUGCGUAGAUAUUAGGAGGAACACCAGUGGCGAAGGCGGCCUGCUGGGCUUUUACUGACGCUGAGGCUCGAAAGUGUGGGGAGCAAACAGGAUUAGAUACCCCAGUAGUC